Molecule: long non-coding RNA, 743 nt
Organism: Coregonus clupeaformis (lake whitefish)
Lineage: Eukaryota; Metazoa; Chordata; Actinopteri; Salmoniformes; Salmonidae
Exons: 2
Source: RefSeq, a predicted model, not a curated record
UUAGCAGCACAUUACAUCCAUCUAACCCAAUUAAAAUAUGCGAAAACAUUGAUUGAAAUGGAUUGGAUUCCAGGAGCUGAACCCCAAUCCGAAUGGGCAAGAAUGCGUUCUGCAUUAUUGACAGGCUUUAGAGGCAGCAACAGCGGCUUUACUGGCAGCAACAGAGUCAGACAUGCAACUUUCAAUACAGUUGUCCCGUCGCCCCAGACUGUCUUUGAAGGAUGGAAAUGCUUCACAGCUUUAUUUAUGGCUUCUCUCGCUUACCUGUGCUACAUCUACUGGGACAGAAUAGAGCUUGCUUCACAAGCUGCCUGGAGUUGGGUGAUAAAAUGUCCAGCUAGAUGGAAGAACUCAGCGGAGAAGGUGGAGCGGCAAAAGUCCAGAAAAAGGCGGUUAAACCCUCUGCUGAUCAAAGUCAAGCGGCUGGAAUUGAAACUGACUGCUAUGAAGAGAGCCUUGGAGAAGCACGGUUCACAUCGAACCUCCCCAUCUUGUUCCUCCCCACACUGCUCUCAGCACGUUCUCCAGACCAAGGGCUCUGUACACAUCAGCAGCUACUCAGACUGGGAGAGUGCUGCAUAGGCCAUAGUCUUAGAAGAUGAAAUGGACUGCACUCCAAUAGAGACAUUUAAAUGAUUCAUUUAUUGACCCUGUUGUUUAGACUGUAGAGUGCCUGUGUUGAUACAGAAUUGCAUUGGCAUGAGAAAACACUUGUUUUCUAAAUAUAUUUUCUUUCAAUAAUA